AUACGUAGGGGGCGAGCGUUGUCCGGAAUGAUUGGGCGUAAAGGGCGCGUAGGCGGCCCGGUAAGUCUGGAGUGAAAGUCCUGUUUUUAAGAUGGGGCUUGCUUUGGAUACUGUCGGGCUUGAGGGCAGGAGAGGAAAGUGGAAUUCCCAGUGUAGCGGUGAAAUGCGUAGAGAUUGGGAGGAACACCAGUGGCGAAGGCGACUUACUGGACUGUAACUGACGCUGAGGCGCGAAAGUGUGGGGAGCAAACAGGAUUAGAUACCCUGGUAGUCCACACUGUAAACGAUGAAUGCUAGGUGUAGGGGGUAUCGACCCCUUCUGUGCCGCAGUCAACACAAUAAGCAUUCCGCCUGGGGAGUACGGCCGCAAGGUUGAAACUCAAAGGAAUUGACGGGG
Molecule: ribosomal RNA, 397 nt
Filed under: uncultured bacterium
Lineage: Bacteria
Description: partial 16S ribosomal RNA
Rfam family: Bacterial small subunit ribosomal RNA
Source: RNAcentral